CCCAUCGCUGAUCUCUCUCGACAUUCUUCAGUUCGAACUCCUUAAUCAGUUUAACGCUUUACCGGAUGGAUAUGUCUUUGUUAUUGAGGUUUCCCUGUUUAGUAUCUUUGUCGCCCCAACCUUGCACAUGAUAUGCGUAGCUUUGGAAGGAGAAUUAGACAUGCACAGCAAGACUGAGCUAAUACUAUUUUUUAUUUAUUGUGGAAAUACCAACCCAUGUUUUGUCUAGUCAUCAUCGCCUGAUAAAGUUAUUAGAAGCUCAUCAGGCCAAGGUCGCGUUACUCUUUUAGUUUUAUUUUUGCUGACUUCUCUUGGUUCCAUUUUAGUUAAUUGUUUAAAGGCGCUUUGUGUUUAAUCACAUUUCGCAAAAUCAGGCAGCAAAUGUUCAUUAGAUUAAUAGAAGAAAAAUGAAUUGUUUGUGUCUAUUAGAGUUUUCACCCGGAGAUACAACGAUUAUUUGCCAGUAGAUAUUAAAUUUUGAAACUGUGCAUUUGCAUUAUUAAUCACAAAGAUUAGAACUAUACAUUUAAGCGGAGACAGAUGGUAUAAAGGUACAAGGCAUGGAAACCUUCCGUGGGAGGAGGUGGGGUCAUUCACCCCCAAGCUUCAAUUUCGAGGCCGUUUAAGACUGGACGCAUUCCCUGGCCAAACCAUGGGAGAAAUAAUGUUUACCGUGACACAUCUAUGCGUGUCAAGCUUCGGGAGCGAUAUCAUCACAGGCUGCUUACAACGCCUCAAGAAGCAUGAGCUGUUCAUACAGCUUACAAUCAUAUACUUUCCAUCACCAGCCGGAAAAAGAAAACAAUCAGAUUGCGGAAUGAGAAGUAUGAUGGAAGCAAGAUCAUUUGAAAUCAAAUCAAAGUUUAUUUAUAAAAUUCACAGUAUGGCAAACCGCAGUAGAUGCAAACAAUGAAAUGAGUUUCCCUGAGAGCUCCCUAUAAUGAAGUAAUAGGUUUAAAAAGUAAGUAAAUAAAUAAUUGAGUAAAAUAAGGUAAAACGUAUAAAUUGUCCACACGAAUAGCCUGAGGUUUGGGCUAACCGCCCAAGCAUAGAAUAUACUAUGGUUUCCAAUGCAAGAAUUCUUUUCGUCAUGUAGGUGGAAAGUAUGCUGACACUGGUUUCACUGUCCAGUUUCUUUGCUUACUGCAAUGGAUGCUGCCAGUGAGGACAUCACAGCAGAAGCUCAUGGACUCUAUGACAUAGAGAAUGACUUUGGCAUGCAAGAGGUUUUUGCGCACGGUGCGUCGCGAGGGAGGAUAUCCAGUGUGAGGUCCAUGAAAGUCUAUGGCCAGAGAGACACAACUGACAUAGUGUCCACUGGUGUGAGACCACAGAACAGCAUUACACUUUUACUGUAUCACAGUAUUUUGUACAUUUGGCUACUACAGUACAUCAUUGUUUCAUAGGUCUGUGUAUGUAUCUACCGUACAUUAUUGUUUCAUAGGUCUGUGUAUGUAUCUACCGUACAUCAUUGGUUCAUAGGUCUGUGUAUGUAUCUACAUCAUUGUUUCAUAGGUCUGUGUAUGUAUCUACCGUACAUCAUUGUUUCAUAGGUCUGUGUAUGUAUCUACUGUACAUCAUUGUUUCAUAGUUCUGUGUAUGUAUCUACCGUACAUCAUUGUUUCAUAGGUCUGUGUAUGUAUCUACCGUACAUCAUUGUUUCAUAGGUCUGUGUAUGUAUCUACGGUACAUCAUUGAGUACUGAAGUAUAAGGUGCUGUGUAGGAUUCCAUUUUUUUCUCAGUUUUUGUGUGUCCUGUGCAUUGGACUGUGUUGCAAGAAAAUCAAAUUUUAAAUGUUUUCCAUGUAAAUAUGAUUUGUCCCCUAAGCAUAUUGAAAUCAUUUCUUCACAGGAUACAACAAUAUAGAACCUUGUACUUUUGGAAUGAUGUGUCUAACAUAUAUUCAAGCGGCAUUUGGUUUUGUGCACAAUAGUUUCAGAAAGUUAUGAACGGCUUCCAUGGUACAUUUUACUACUAACGAUAUGUCUAAACAUUUUGACUGCCGUGGUUCUGCACAAUGAGCAAAGACUUUUUUUAUUUUGUUAUUCGCUGACACAAUCAUUACAUUUUGGAACACGAGGUAAGAGUUUUGAGUCAAUGACUUCAUUUUGCAGGCGAACCAUAAUGAUAAGAAAUGCAAUUGCACUUGUGAGGACUUCUAGAAAUUUGCUAAAGCGACCAAGAAAAGCUGCAUUCUUAUAGUCACGUUAUUAUGAUGUCAUUUAUUGAAUAUAAAAUCAAGCACAAGUUGUUUCUUUGCGCUAAAUGAAUGUUUAAAAAUCUUCAUUUUAUGCUUAUUUAUCAAGA
Molecule: long non-coding RNA, 2308 nt
Organism: Brienomyrus brachyistius
Lineage: Eukaryota; Metazoa; Chordata; Actinopteri; Osteoglossiformes; Mormyridae
Exons: 2
Source: RefSeq, a predicted model, not a curated record